AUCAAGUGACUGAUGCAAAGUUCUUGGUCGAUGUCUUUAAAGUUGGUGUAAGAAUGAGCCGUGGAGAUUCUGAUAACAAGUUGAUUACCCGAGAUGAGGUGGAGAAAUGCUUGCUUGAGGCAACCGUAGGACCCAAGGCGGCAGCGCUGAAGCAGAAUGCAUUGAAAUGGAAGGCAGCGGCGGAGGCUGCAGUGGCCGAGGGUGGUUCCUCAGACAGGAAUAUACAAGUUUUUGUGGAGGAAGUGAGGAAGAAAAGUGUUGAGAACACUAGCAAGCCAAGCAUCCUCAAUGGACAUGAGGAAGAAAGAAGUGUUUAAGAGAGUCUCUGGUCUACCAGUUGACUACUUGGCUACUUCGCUUUAGAAAGGAAAUAUAAUUAAAAUGUGGACAAUAAUGCUCAGAAUGUAAGAGAGGAUUUAUGCAUUCCAAAAGUAAUUAAUAAUUUCCAAUCAUUGUGUAUUAUUA
This 465-nucleotide unclassified non-coding RNA is filed under the name Hevea brasiliensis (rubber tree). The record is from RNAcentral. Lineage: Eukaryota; Viridiplantae; Streptophyta; Magnoliopsida; Malpighiales; Euphorbiaceae.